Long non-coding RNA from Lotus japonicus, 908 nucleotides. RefSeq lists it as uncharacterized. NCBI's taxonomy places the organism in Eukaryota, Viridiplantae, Streptophyta, Magnoliopsida, Fabales, Fabaceae. The transcript is spliced from 3 exons. The record is from RefSeq and is a predicted model, not a curated record.
CUUGCGGAGCCCUCAGGUCCAAGGAGCUUUAAGGUAUGAAUCGCCUUAUUGGAGAUCCCUUGCCGCAAACCGCAUUCAAGUUGCAUGGAGAUAUAGACAGAAACGUCUGAGUCGUGUUAAUUCCUCAGUAACAACUAAACAUUGAGGUUUGGGCAUCUUCUAGGUGUUAGUCUCCAAAGCAUGAGUGAUCCAUCAGGUUCUUUGUAAACCUUUAUUAUCACUUCAUUUAUCAAUUACUUUCAUAAUUCUUUGGUUUCAUAAUUCUGUGGAAUUUGGAUGUUCUGUUUCCCAUAUACAUAAUCCUUGAUGCCAAAAGAUCAUGAAACUUGCUUUUUAAAUACAAUAGUAUUCUUUCAUCUUUUCUUUAGAUACAAAGACUUGCAUUGUUAUCUAACUGUUAAAGAGAAAUAAUUAUUUUGAAUUGAAAUUGUGUGAUUUAAUUAUGUGUGAUGACAAAGCUGUUGAAAUUGAGCUAUUUAAACUGCUUCUAGGGACUGUUAUUUGCAUUCUGAAUUGCAGGUAACUAAUAUGACAAGGGGACUUAUUGUUGAUGCAGACUGGACUUUAUCUAUUAUACAUACUCAUGUGUAGUUUAAUAUAUAUCCUCUUUGUCUUUGUGGAGCUUGGACUUUUUAUGCAUGGACUACAUAUUCCCACUGUUUUAUAACCGUGGCAAUAGAGGCCACAUAUUGCCACACUCUAUUGCCACGGUUACGCACAUGACCGUAGCAAUAUUUGGACUCUAUUGCCACGGUUACGACGUAACCGUGGCAAUUUCUGGCCUCUAUUGCCACGGUUACCAUUUACGACCUGUGGUAAUAGGCUAAUCAAUUGCCACGGUUCUCCCUUGAACCGUGGCAAUUGAGCAAUUGCCACGCAAGCUAUCGCCACGAUUAAACCGUGGCGAA